This is a long non-coding RNA of Herpailurus yagouaroundi (jaguarundi), 1613 nucleotides long. RefSeq lists it as uncharacterized. Lineage: Eukaryota; Metazoa; Chordata; Mammalia; Carnivora; Felidae. The record is from RefSeq and is a predicted model, not a curated record. The transcript is spliced from 3 exons.
UCUAGGGAAAGGGCCUUCUGUUCAUUCAUCCAGCAGUCACGCCCUGGGGGCCCCCUGCUGGCCGGCGCUGGCCUAGGGCUGCAAAGAUGAAAGUCCCUAUCUGUUCAGUCUAGUGGAGGGGAGGGCGACGAAGAAGGAACUGGAAAGGGACAUGCACUGCAGCAGGGGCAAGCCGAUUGUGGGAGCCCGCAGGAAGCACCAGGCAGCUCAUUAGAGGCCCUUCAACCACCAUCAUCUAUGCAGAGCAUGAACCGAACCGUGUCCAGGCACAGAAGUACAGCCUAACAAGACGGAAUUUAGCACUGCAGUGAGACAGUAGGAAAAUAGCUGAACUUCCAAGAAGAGUCUCCUUGCUUUUACCUGGAGUGGCACCACCCUGGACAUCAGGUGAUCAAAAUAAAGGUCCACUGCUUCGGUGAAGCCCUUUCUCCAAAGACCAUGAGAGAAAUCCAGCAAGAGACGCUGGAGGAGCCAGGACAUUCAAGAGAGUUGGAGAGAAAGAACCUCAGCUAGGCCAAGAUGGCAGAGAAGUAGGGGGACCCAUUCUUCCUGCCACUCUCAAACAAAGAAGUGCAGAAGCCAAAGGACUUUGAACACCAGAGCCUGGGAGGAAAAGAGACUGAAUCUACUAGGAAGAAAAUGGGGAAGCUGGAAAGAAGAUAGGUGGGUAACUGCAAACUGGGGGAGAUAAAAAACAGCCACAUGGGCACGGAGCGGAGGCACUCCCUUCAACGGAGAGACAAAGGGAAAAGAAAGAGCAGCUAGGGAAGUGCAGGACCGUAUCUGGACAGGAGAAAGUCCAGGGAUUGAGACAGAGAGGGAUCCGAUCUCUAACUGCAGGGCUUUCUUUGGACUGGAGCUGGCUCCCUGUUGGUGCACCUGGAGAGGAGGGGAGCCUGGGUGUGGUGGUAGGUCAGGGGCUCAGUCCUCAGUUGGAGGAAGUGGUUCCCUCCCUGGAGGGCUAUGUGAUAGUACAGAAUCUGCCUGUGUCUGCCACUCCUGGGCACAGUGGCUGGGCCAAGGGUGCAGUCUGCAGGAGGAAAAGGCUGCCAUCUCUCUGGAGUGCUGUGGGAAAAGACAAAGCCUGCCUGUGUCUGCCACCCCGGGGGCUCGUGGCGAAGGUGGUGGCUCUUGGUCCCCAGUAGGAGAAGGCUGUCCUCCCUGAAGUGCAGGGGCACAGACAAAGCCAGCCAGGACCACAUAUCCGUCACACUGAGAGGCGCUUCCCCAAUGCCAGAGUGCACAGAGCGGGACUUUGAAUCCUAGUCAAGCAUAGGGUCACGGGAGUUGGUGGAGCGAGAAGGACCUCCCCACCUGUGCCCUCGGCACAAUAAGGAUGACUCAAACAGAGUCCAUCGGGUCCAGCUCCGUGGAGAAGAGACUGGGGGAUCACCAUUCCACACACCACCACCACCAAGGUGGGGCCUCAGGGAUCAGUACUGGGGCCCAGAGUGGAGGUGGGUCCAGAUUAUGCCAAACCAUGCCCCUUUGUGCUGGGUAACUGCGUAUCCACCACAGCAGCACAGACCCUGCAGACAACUACUCCCGACAAGCGACGCAGCAUUGCCUGGAUUAACUCUAGGUCAAUUCUGGAUAUAUAGAUAUAUUCUCCA